This is a long non-coding RNA of Neofelis nebulosa (Clouded leopard), 631 nucleotides long. RefSeq lists it as uncharacterized. The transcript is spliced from 3 exons. The record is from RefSeq and is a predicted model, not a curated record. NCBI's taxonomy places the organism in Eukaryota, Metazoa, Chordata, Mammalia, Carnivora, Felidae.
UAGAACUUUUAGUCACUCUCCUCUCACACAUACCUCCAAGGAGGGGAGAGGGGCUGGAGGCUGAGUCAGCCAAGAGACGGUGACUUAAUCAAUCCUGACUAUGCAGUGAAGCCUCCGUAAAGAGCCUAACAGACAGGGUUUGGAGAGCAUCCAGGUUGGUGAACACGUAGAGAUGGGAGAGAGAGGCACACCUAGAGAAGUUGGUGGAAAGGCUCCCUCUUCUGGGCCAACAUCCUGAAGUUCUCGGAAGCCUAUGAAUUCUGCCGGAAGUCUGGAAAGAUGGCCACGAUUCCCAAACGUCUGGGAACCAUAAUCUAGAAGAUGGUGAGGAUGCACUUAGGUAAUCUAAUGAGACCUUUGGAUCCCCCAUGCUGGAAAAGAUGGACAUAUACGUGAUGUUUUGCAAAUAAUUACAAGAUUUGAAAGAUCCUAUGGAGCUCGCUCUGUGAAUCAAUCAAGAAUCUGGGAGCCACAAAUCAAGAGACCCUCCUCUACCAUUAAGUAAAGCCUUCCUAUCUUUUUUUUUUUUUCCUGUUUCUAAAUCCACAUCCCUAGCCUCCUGUUUGAAUUUGAGGACCGUGUCCUGGGUUCUGUUUAUAACCAAACUGUUUCAGCAUCUUAUUUCGUUUGG